AUUGAACGCUGGCGGCAGGCCUAACACAUGCAGGUCGAACGGUAACAGGAAGAAGCUUGCUUCUUUGCUGACGAGUGGCGGACGGGUGAGUAAUGUCUGGGAAACUGCCUGAUGGAGGGGGAUAACUACUGGAAACGGUAGCUAAUACCGCAUAACGUCGCAAGACCAAAGAGGGGGACCUUCGGGCCUCUUGCCAAUCGGAUGUGCCCAGAUGGGAUUAGCUAGUAGGUGGGGUAACGGCUCACCUAGGCGACGAUCCCUAGCUGGUCUGAGAGAUGACCAGCCACACUGGAACUGAGACAGGUCCAGACUCCUAC
This 317-nucleotide ribosomal RNA is filed under the name uncultured bacterium. RNAcentral describes it as "bacterial SSU rRNA". It matches the Rfam family "Bacterial small subunit ribosomal RNA", at positions 30 to 342 of the family's 1533-position model. The record is from RNAcentral.